Non-coding RNA from Rattus norvegicus (Norway rat), 1801 nucleotides. The record is from RefSeq and is a predicted model, not a curated record. Lineage: Eukaryota; Metazoa; Chordata; Mammalia; Rodentia; Muridae.
GCUCUUCUUAGUGUUACAGCUCUCUUGAACAGGGACCCCGACCAGCAAAAUCGCUCGGCUUAUAUAGACAACAGUAUGCUAAUUAUCUCUCAGGGAUUGGUGGGGCUUGGAUCACCCCACUACUUGUCCUCCAGGGAUUGGCGGAGAAUGAAUCACCUCAUUAGCAUAUUAACGGUCAACUAACACCUGGUGCAUAAACCGCACAUGUGCAGUACCGCUGUUCACCACUAGAGGGAGCCCUAACAAGGGGACAAGCCUGCACAUGCGCAAUAAGUCGUUUAUAUCCAGACAAGGCUAGAUGUCGGCGCCAUCUUUGUUUCGCCACGCCGCUCUCUACAGCCACGCCCAGGGCACCACAGCCAAUGAGUGGCUGAGCAGCCUCAAUUCUACAUGGCCAACCCGACCCUUGUAAAGCCUGUCUUGAGGAAGAGCAAGAAGUCCAGGGAGAAGAAAGCAAGUAGACACCCAAAGACACCAGUGUGGGGGGUGUGAGCACUGUGGGGAUGGGAUGGAGUCUUGGACCAGUGAGAACGCCAGAGACAAACUGCUGGAGGAUGUGACCGUGUGACUAUAGAGUCCUCUGGGAGCCUGAACCGCUCAGAAGCCAGGAAGUCUACAUUGCUCAACUAUUGAUGUCGGCUGCUCCCCCGCUGCUCAGCAGGUGCUUUCUGCAGCACCCUCUCCUGCCACCCCCCACCCCACCCCACACUCGCUCUGACAAGCAGUCUCUGACCAGUGUGUUUGGAAGUCACUGGGCAAUUCCGGCAUCAUCCUCAUGAGCUUAAGGUUUCAGUGGUAUCUGCAGGCAGGUGACAGCCACAUUCUGUAAGUGGCACCUCAUCCACUCAGCUGUCCAGCCUAAUGCCCACCUGUCCCUUAGCCCCUGCUCUGCUCAUGACCUCCCAAUGCCGAUCGAUCCCCACCCCAUCUUGCUACAUAGCUGAGGGUGGUCUCCAACUCCCAUCCUCCUGCCUUUGUCCCCCGAGUACUGGAUUAGAUGUGCAUGUUACCAUUCCCGGCUUUCUCCAUCUAAUCUCUCCACCACCCCUCGCUCUAUCCCGGUCCAAGCAUUAGUACCAUCAAGCCAAGACUGUUCUCAGUCUCUAAGGAGCUGCUGGCCGCCAUCGAGCCUGCAAUGUUCUUGUUGAUUAGUGCUGGUUGUCAACUUGACAGACUCAAGCAUCCCUUGGGAAGUGGGUCUGUGUGUUUAGGAGUAUCUUGAGCACGUGAGUUAGAAGAGCUGCCCCAUACAUAGUAGAUAGUUCCUAACUGGGCUCCUGGGCUGUAUUAAUGAGGAAAGCAAGCUGAACAGCCGCAGGCAUCAUGGCUUCCUGUUUCCUGGCUGCAGAUUCAAGGAGCCAGCUUUAAGCUCUAGCUGCCUCGAUGUCCCCACCGUGGUGGCCUGUACUCUUGAACUAUGAGCCAGAGUAAGCCUGUUCUCCCUCAAGUGCUUCUGUCUGAGCAGCAGGAGAAGGAAGUCAGGUGAUACCCCACUGUGAGCGCUUGCCUGAUGAUGGCUGUGCUGAGCAAGAUGUGGGAGCCUUCACAUGAACGCGCGCAUUUACUCCGUCAGCAGAUCUUUAUGGAGUUUCCCACACACCACGGCCCAUUUAUUUAUUUAAACAGAAAACUUUCUAUUGCAUAAGAAAAAUGUGAUACACUCUUAAAUAGAAAUGCCCCCGUUAAAAUAUGUAUGAAAGUAUUUAAGUGAUUCUUAACAAAAUAUUAAGUAUUUCCAUAUAAAAUAGUUCUCCUUGAAACUAUAUAAGUAGUAAAAAAAUUAAAACUCUUACCGAUCAUA